This 301-nucleotide ribosomal RNA is filed under the name uncultured bacterium. RNAcentral describes it as "partial 16S ribosomal RNA". It matches the Rfam family "Bacterial small subunit ribosomal RNA", at positions 509 to 809 of the family's 1533-position model. The record is from RNAcentral.
CAGCCGCCGCGGUAAUCCGGAGGGAGCUAGCGUUAACCGGAAUUACUGGGCGUAAAGCGUGCGUAGGCGGUGAGUUAAGUCUGCUGUGAAAUCCCCGGGCUCAACCUGGGAGCGGCAGUGGAUACUGGCUCGCUAGAGUGUGUCAGAGGAUGGUGGAAUUCCCGGUGUAGCGGUGAAAUGCGUAGAGAUCGGGAGGAACAUCAGUGGCGAAGACGGCCAUCUGGGACAACACUGACGCUGAGGCACGAAAGCGUGGGGAGCAAACAGGAUUAGAUACCCCGGUAGUCCCUGUCUUUAUACA